This is a long non-coding RNA of Prosopis cineraria, 519 nucleotides long. RefSeq lists it as uncharacterized. The record is from RefSeq and is a predicted model, not a curated record. Lineage: Eukaryota; Viridiplantae; Streptophyta; Magnoliopsida; Fabales; Fabaceae. The transcript has 3 exons.
CCGCUUAAUUUAGCUGCUAGAAUGUCUAAGAAGGCAGAGGUACGUGCCAUUUUUUUGCUCGGUUCUGAGGAACGGUCACUGCACAACAUUGAUGAUCUCAUUGAUGCUGCAGAGUACUCUCUUUCCCUUUUGAGAAAAGGAGAACUUGAACUCUUGACCUUAAUACCCAAAUUUUUAAUUACAAAGAACUUUACUAAUCAAAUCAACUGUGGAUGGACAUAAAGUGUUAGUAUCGGAAUCUUUGGGAACAAUCUAAUGCACUUUGCUUCAAGAGGUUAAAAGACUAGGAGACAAGAGGGGCCUGCCGCAUAUUGAAGUGAUAGCUUGAGUAUCUUUUGAGAGAAAGGGACCACUGAGCAAUAGAGAUUUCUCACAAGUCAAAGUCAUCAUGCCAAUAUCAAUAUAUAUCCUUCAUGCCUUGUAACCUCUAAAGAAAGAGCACAAUAUUAAAGUGUACUUGAAAAAAGUAUGAUUAGGGGGCAAAAUCAUGAUUAAAGAUACUCCAAAUUGCCUCUCUCA